UUUCAUGCCAGGAAUGGUUGAUACGCACAUUCAUGCACCUCAGUAUUCAUUUGCUGAUAUGAGAGUAGAUCUACCUCUCUUGCAGUGGUUGACUACCUACACAUUCCCAACAGAAGCCAAAUAUAAAGAUAGUGAUUUUGCAGAAGAAGUGUACACCAGAGUUGUUAGACGAACUCUGAAGAAUGGCACCACUACAGCUUGCUACUUUGCAACAAUUUACACAGAUACUUCUCUUCUCCUAGCUGAGAUUAUAGAUAAAUUUGGUCAACGAGCUUUGUUGGCAAAGUCUGUAUGGAUAUGAAUGACAGCGUUCCACAAUACAAAGAGACUAC
Struthio camelus australis is the source of this 332-nucleotide non-coding RNA. Lineage: Eukaryota; Metazoa; Chordata; Aves; Struthioniformes; Struthionidae. The record is from RefSeq and is a predicted model, not a curated record.